GGAGGAAAAGAAACCAACAGGGAUUGCCUUAGUAACGGCGAGUGAAGCGGCAAAAGCUCAAAUUUGAAAUCUGGCACCUUCGGUGUCCGAGUUGUAAUUUGAAGAAGGUAACUUUGGAGUUGGCUCUUGUCUAUGUUCCUUGGAACAGGACGUCACAGAGGGUGAGAAUCCCGUGCGAUGAGAUGCCCAAUUCUAUGUAAAGUGCUUUCGAAGAGUCGAGUUGUUUGGGAAUGCAGCUCUAAGUGGGUGGUAAAUUCCAUCUAAAGCUAAAUAUUGGCGAGAGACCGAUAGCGAACAAGUACAGUGAUGGAAAGAUGAAAAGAACUUUGAAAAGAGAGUGAAAAAGUACGUGAAAUUGUUGAAAGGGAAGGGCUUGAGAUCAGACUUGGUAUUUUGCGAUCCUUUCCUUCUUGGUUGGGUUCCUCGCAGCUUACUGGGCCAGCAUCGGUUUGGAUGGUAGGAUAAUGACUAAGGAAUGUGGCUCUACUUCGGUGGAGUGUUAUAGCCUUGGUUGAUACUGCCUGUCUAGACCGAGGACUGCGUCUUUUGACUAGGAUGUUGGCAUAAUGAUCUUAAGCCACCCGUCUUGAAACACGGA
Molecule: ribosomal RNA, 598 nt
Filed under: Debaryomyces hansenii
Lineage: Eukaryota; Fungi; Ascomycota; Pichiomycetes; Serinales; Debaryomycetaceae
Description: LSU rRNA
Rfam family: Eukaryotic large subunit ribosomal RNA
Source: RNAcentral